Molecule: small RNA, 122 nt
Filed under: Kosakonia cowanii
Lineage: Bacteria; Pseudomonadati; Pseudomonadota; Gammaproteobacteria; Enterobacterales; Enterobacteriaceae
Description: istR Hfq binding RNA
Rfam family: istR Hfq binding RNA
Source: RNAcentral
UGUGUAAAAAUUGCGCAACCGGACGAUAUAGCGUAUAGUUCCGCUGUUGACGUAACGCAGUGUGCUUGCGGUCACCAGCCGCAAAAAGCUGCAAAAAAAACCUCGCUCCGGCGGGGUUUUUU